CCUCUGACAUGCCGCAUCCUUCUCCCCGUGGCCCUCGGGUCAGCACCACACUGAGGGAAAGGAAAGCAAGCUCGGGGAGAGGUGAGGAAAUGGGAUCAGUGCAGGACAGGGGUAUAAAUUAAAAAAGGAUGGGGUAUCCCUAACCCAGAGAAAGCAGGGAUAAAGCAGGGAAAUGUGACCAGCAGACCCAAUAGAGGAGAGCAGAGCUCUGGCGUCUGCAUCUCCAUGUCACAAACAGGGUACAGGACAGGCAAAUAAUCUGGCAUAUGCAGGUGAAGUGUGGUUGAACCUUCAUCGAUCCUCCUGCAGUCUCCUUCCAGACCUGCCUUUGUUGUUCCUGUCACUCCUGUUCUGUAAAAUUCUGAGGAGGCCUGUUGAUGUCUGAAGGAGAGAGGCAGAUCAAGGAUAUUUGGGUAUGGAAGAAAACAACCUCAAGAGAGCCAAAGCAAGCUUUUCUCAAGCAGCGCAGCAGCUGUGCCCCAAACCCUGGUCAUUGGAAGUCCUAUUCAGGAGCAGCUUCCCUCUUUGUGGGACCAUGAAUUCUUCUCUGUGGUUUUUCAGGCUGUCAAAAGGGUUGAGAAUUUUCAUCGCAGGAUCCAGUCACAGUAUUGUCAAUUACAAGUUUACACACCCGAGGCAAUAUGCUACAAUAUGCUAACUACAAUAUGCUAACUACAAAGGGGAAGCGUCCCAGAUGCCUCCUGGACUUGCAGCCUCCUGCACCCCAUAUGCAGGUGUCUGGACGUGCCGAGAAAAGCCUGUGGACAAAUGCAGACUGGAGG
Molecule: non-coding RNA, 782 nt
Organism: Cyanistes caeruleus (blue tit)
Lineage: Eukaryota; Metazoa; Chordata; Aves; Passeriformes; Paridae
Source: RefSeq, a predicted model, not a curated record